AGGAGGAGAGAUGGAAGGAGGCACAUUAGGAGUAGUGGUGGUAGGAGCAAGGUUAGGGGAAUGAGCAAGGUUAGGAGUAGGAGCAAGGUUAGGGGAAUGAGCAAGGUUAGGAGUAGGAGCAAGGUUAGGGGAAGGACCAAGGUUAGG
Molecule: non-coding RNA, 147 nt
Organism: Salmo salar (Atlantic salmon)
Lineage: Eukaryota; Metazoa; Chordata; Actinopteri; Salmoniformes; Salmonidae
Source: RefSeq, a predicted model, not a curated record